This 562-nucleotide ribosomal RNA is filed under the name Typhlatya pearsei. Its description in RNAcentral is "eukaryotic LSU rRNA". The record is from RNAcentral. Lineage: Eukaryota; Metazoa; Arthropoda; Malacostraca; Decapoda; Atyidae.
UUAUAAGAAUGUGAAGCCGCUAGGAGCUUAAACGGGUGGAACUGCGAAGGACGAACGAGGGUAUUCACCUCGUCGGGGGGACGGGACCGGGGCGCUCCUUGAGUCAGGCGCCAAGAGCAAACCCAAGCGAGCGCAGGAGCGCCCCUUUGGUGUCCGACAGACAGGUCCCUCCCGGCGGGCGUAUUUGUCCCCUCUAGUAGUGUGACGCAGCGAGCCGUCUGGAAGGAGCCAGGAGGGCCGCGUCCGGACUGGUACCCUCAGUCAGGAGGGGAAACCGGCGCGUGCUGCUCGGGGACUGGCUCCGGAGACGGCGUACUCCCAAGGGGGCAGGGGGCCCCUCGCUGUGAAGUAGCGGUGAUCCACCCGACCCGUCUUGAAACACGGACCAAGGAGUCUAACCUGUGCGCGAGUCUAAGGGUUCUUGGCAAGACCCGGAGGCGCAAUGAAAGUGAGCGAGCCUGCCACGGGCGGGCUCUAGGCUGGCCGAUCCCCGGCACAAGUGCCGGGGCGCAGGCCGAGGACUCGCCGCUCGGCGGCCGUCUGCUCUGGCCUCCCUGGCCCU